GCGGACGGUGGCGGCGUGGAUUAGGCAUGCAAGUCGAACGAGAAAGGCCGCAAGGCCGAGUAAAGUGGCGGACGGGUGAGUAAUGUAUGGACAAUCUACCUUCGAGAUGGGGAUAACAGCUGGAAACGGCUGCUAAUACCCAGUGGCUCCGGUAGCGGGCAUCCGCGGCCGGAUAAAGGGGGGCAACUCCCGCUCGGAGACGAGUCCAUAUCCCAUCAGCUAGUUGGCGGGGUAAUGGCCCACCAAGGCGAUGACGGGUAGGCGGACUGGGAGGUCGACCGCCCACAUCGGGACUGAGACACUGCCCGGACUCCUACGGGAGGCUGCAGUCGAGAAUCUUCCGCAAUGGGCGCAAGCCUGACGGAGCGACGCCGCGUGUAGGAUGAAGGCCUUCGGGUUGUAAACUACUGUCACUCGUGAAGAACGUCCACUCCAACCAAGUGGGCUGACGUUAGCGAGAGAGGAAGUCACGGCUAACUUCG
Molecule: ribosomal RNA, 482 nt
Filed under: uncultured bacterium
Lineage: Bacteria
Description: bacterial SSU rRNA
Rfam family: Bacterial small subunit ribosomal RNA
Source: RNAcentral